GUGGCUGUAGCUCAACGGCAGAGCACCCGGCUGUGACCCGGGAGGCAGCGGGGUCGGCACCCGUCAGUCACCCCA
RNAcentral lists this transfer RNA (75 nucleotides) under Micromonosporaceae bacterium. RNAcentral's name for it is "tRNA-His". It matches the Rfam family "tRNA". Rfam says of the family: Transfer RNA (tRNA) molecules are approximately 80 nucleotides in length. Their secondary structure includes four short double-helical elements and three loops (D, anti-codon, and T loops). The record is from RNAcentral. Lineage: Bacteria; Bacillati; Actinomycetota; Actinomycetes; Micromonosporales; Micromonosporaceae.